Molecule: ribosomal RNA, 378 nt
Filed under: Triticum aestivum (bread wheat)
Lineage: Eukaryota; Viridiplantae; Streptophyta; Magnoliopsida; Poales; Poaceae
Description: partial small subunit ribosomal RNA
Source: RNAcentral
AUGUUCAGCGCCGCCUCGGCAAUAUCACUUGGAGAUGGAGAAUCAGCAAGGUUUUGGAUUGAUAACUGGCUUCCGGAUGGCCGCUCGCUUGCUUCUAUGGCGCCGGCCCUGUUCUCUUUUGUCAAAGACUCCGGCUGCUCGGUUCGGGAAGCACUGCAGAAUCAAUCAUGGAUUAGGGACAUCUCUGGUGGCGUCUCGGUGCAAGCAUUGGCGCAGUAUCUGACAGUUUGGGAUAUCACUCAGGAAACAAUUUUGCGGUCAGGAUCGCGGGAUUGUGCACUCUGGAAGCUCAUGAAGGAGCGGGAGUUCUCUGUCAGCAGCGCCUACAGGAUGAUGUUCAUGGCAAAUAUAUGCUUUGCUUGCAACAAGCCGAUCUAG